Molecule: ribosomal RNA, 600 nt
Filed under: Acinetobacter junii
Lineage: Bacteria; Pseudomonadati; Pseudomonadota; Gammaproteobacteria; Moraxellales; Moraxellaceae
Also listed under: 1 other name
Description: bacterial SSU rRNA
Rfam family: Bacterial small subunit ribosomal RNA
Source: RNAcentral
GGAAUUGCAUUCGAUACUGGGAAGCUAGAGUAUGGGAGAGGAUGAUAGAAUUCCAGGUGUAGCGGUGAAAUGCGUAGAGAUCUGGAGGAAUACCGAUGGCGAAGGCAGCCAUCUGGCCUAAUACUGACGCUGAGGUACGAAAGCAUGGGGAGCAAACAGGAUUAGAUACCCUGGUAGUCCAUGCCGUAAACGAUGUCUACUAGCCGUUGGGGCCUUUGAGGCUUUAGUGGCGCAGCUAACGCGAUAAGUAGACCGCCUGGGGAGUACGGUCGCAAGACUAAAACUCAAAUGAAUUGACGGGGGCCCGCACAAGCGGUGGAGCAUGUGGUUUAAUUCGAUGCAACGCGAAGAACCUUACCUGGCCUUGACAUACUAGAAACUUUCCAGAGAUGGAUUGGUGCCUUCGGGAAUCUAGAUACAGGUGCUGCAUGGCUGUCGUCAGCUCGUGUCGUGAGAUGUUGGGUUAAGUCCCGCAACGAGCGCAACCCUUUUCCUUACUUGCCAGCAUUUCGGAUGGGAACUUUAAGGAUACUGCCAGUGACAAACUGGAGGAAGGCGGGGACGACGUCAAGUCAUCAUGGCCCUUACGGCCAGGGGUAC